Molecule: long non-coding RNA, 1255 nt
Organism: Silurus meridionalis
Lineage: Eukaryota; Metazoa; Chordata; Actinopteri; Siluriformes; Siluridae
Exons: 3
Source: RefSeq, a predicted model, not a curated record
AUGAAUAAAAAAAGACCACGACCAAGAUGUCACGUGAACCGUUCCAUAGCCAAAUCUGCUCUAUGACGAAUUAACGCAAUGAGCGUGACGUGGUCUAACAUGUGGUAACAUUUCGCAGCGCGAGCAGGUUAAACGCUAUCGUCAGCGACCCCCUGAUGACGCUAAAGAAGCACCAGCAUAUUCAAUCUACUGAUUUGCACUGGGGUUAACUGAGGAAACUAAAUUACUGUAGGGAUUUGCUGCACCAAAAGUGUUUCUCUUCUCUACAUGCUGAAGGUUAGGAAGAUUGAUAACAACGUGCAAACAACAAAUGCAUAAGCUACACAUUCACACACAUGCACAGAGGCCCAAAUAGAUUUCCUGUCUGCUUUGUGAUAGGAAUAUUGUCAGCCAUUUCAGCUCAAGAGUGUGUGUUUAUGGUUCAGAGGCUGUGCUGAGAACCUGCAGCGCUGCUGUUAAUUAAAUUAGCCUCAACCUCUAUGCAUGCAGAGAGACAAAGAGGGAACAUUAGUUAUCAUAUCUUGAUGCCUUCUUACACUUUGUUUAAUUGAAAAGGGGAGAGAAUGUGAAAUGGGACUGUUCUGAUUUGUAACAGGGCUCUUUGGCUAGAAGUAGGCAUUAAUUUAAAAUGGAUGGGCUAUGUCCCUAUUGAAUGUUACAUGCUUAUAGUGAUUAGGCACUAUGACUAUAGCCAGAAAAAGGGAUAACCUAGGUUCCAUUAUGCAGAUUCUCAUUGUUCACAUAUCCAAAUUAUAUAUAUGCAGUAACUGCAGCAUAUCUAAAGUAACAUUUGAAUGUCUUUCAUUAAAAUAACCAUGAAUAAAAGCAUCACCAGAUUAAUGUAUUUCGUUUUAAUGUUUAGAUCCAGUAAAUCUGUUUUUCAUCUAGUCUCUUAGCAUGAUUCACUUUUUGUUUUUGCUUAUUGUUGUUAUACGAUUUGCUGUCUUGUCUUCGGUGUGCUAAUGUGUUUUGCACUUAAAGGCCACUGUAGUAACCCCAUGCCAUCUUCCAUAAGAUGCACGGCUCAUAGAGCUGAAGACCAUCAUUAGAUAACACAGUGGUAAUUAUCUAAUAAAUGAGUGUGUGACAUGACAUGUAGCCAAACACGGAGUGACUUCUCAGAUGGGUUAACCGUACCAGCCAGAUCACGCGAUAAGCAAAUAAGUGCCAAUGUUCAGGUGCAAGCAACCAGCUGAGGAUAAAAGCCCAUUGUAGUUUAUUCUCUGUGGGAAAUAUGUCUGCAUGUGUUAGCUGA